RNAcentral lists this ribosomal RNA (450 nucleotides) under uncultured bacterium. RNAcentral describes it as "partial 16S ribosomal RNA". It matches the Rfam family "Bacterial small subunit ribosomal RNA", at positions 354 to 796 of the family's 1533-position model. The record is from RNAcentral.
GUGGGGAAUUUUGGACAAUGGGCGCAAGCCUGAUCCAGCAAUGCCGCGUGCAGGAAGAAGGCCUUCGGGUUGUAAACUGCUUUUGUACGGAACGAAACGGUCCGGGUUAAUACCCUGGGCUAAUGACGGUACCGUAAGAAUAAGCACCGGCUAACUACGUGCCAGCAGCCGCGGUAAUACGUAGGGUGCAAGCGUUAAUCGGAAUUACUGGGCGUAAAGCGUGCGCAGGCGGUUUUGUAAGACAGGCGUGAAAUCCCCGGGCUCAACCUGGGAAUUGCGCUUGUGACUGCAAGGCUGGAGUGCGGCAGAGGGGGAUGGAAUUCCGCGUGUAGCAGUGAAAUGCGUAGAUAUGCGGAGGAACACCGAUGGCGAAGGCAAUCCCCUGGACCUGUACUGACGCUCAUGCACGAAAGCGUGGGGAGCAAACAGGAUUAGAUACCCCAGUAGUCC